UGCUGCAUGGCUGUCGUCAGCUCGUGUCGUGAGAUGUCGGUUAAGUCCGCUAACGAGCGCAACCCUCGCUGUGUGUUACAAGUGUCACACGGAACUGCCGGUCAUAAACCGGAGGAAGGUGGGGAUGACGUCAAGUCAGCAUGGCCUUUAUAUCCUGGGCUACACACACGCUACAAUGGGAAGGGACAAUAGGUUGCGAAGCCGCGAGGUGGAGCCAAUCCAGUAAACUUCCCUCAGUUCAGAUUGCAGGCUGCAACUCGCCUGCAUGAAGUUGGAGUUGCUAGUAAACGCAGGUCAGCCAUACUGCGUUGAAUACGUUCCCGGGGCUU
RNAcentral lists this ribosomal RNA (329 nucleotides) under uncultured Anaerolineaceae bacterium. RNAcentral's name for it is "bacterial SSU rRNA". It matches the Rfam family "Bacterial small subunit ribosomal RNA", at positions 1039 to 1382 of the family's 1533-position model. The record is from RNAcentral. Lineage: Bacteria; Bacillati; Chloroflexota; Anaerolineae; Anaerolineales; Anaerolineaceae.